CUACGGGAGGCUGCAGUAGGGAAUAUUGGACAAUGGGGGAAACCCUGAUCCAGCAAUGCCGCGUGUGCGAUGAAGGCCUGCGGGUUGUAAAGCACUUUCGGUGGGGAAGAAACACUUAAGUAUAAUACACUUAAGAACUGACAUUACCCACAGAAGAAGCACCGGCAAACUCUGUGCCAGCAGCCGCGGUAAUACAGAGGGUGCAAGCGUUAAUCGGAUUUACUGGGCGUAAAGGGCGCGUAGGCGGGCACUUUAGUCGGUUGUGAAAUCCCCGGGCUUAACCUGGGAAUUGCAGUCGAUACUGGGUGUCUAGAGUAUGGUAGAGGGAAGUGGAAUUCUCGGUGUAGUGGUUAAAUACGUAGAUAUCGGGAGGAACAUCAGUGGCGAAGGCGGCUUUCUGGCCCAAUACUGACGCUGAGGCGCGAAAGCGUGGGGAGCAAACAGGAUUAGAUACCCGCGUAAUC
Molecule: ribosomal RNA, 464 nt
Filed under: uncultured bacterium
Lineage: Bacteria
Description: partial 16S ribosomal RNA
Rfam family: Bacterial small subunit ribosomal RNA
Source: RNAcentral